RNAcentral lists this ribosomal RNA (426 nucleotides) under uncultured bacterium. Its description in RNAcentral is "bacterial SSU rRNA". It matches the Rfam family "Bacterial small subunit ribosomal RNA", at positions 355 to 774 of the family's 1533-position model. The record is from RNAcentral.
UGGGGAAUCUUGCGCAAUGGACGAAAGUCUGACGCAGCGACGCCGCGUGAGUGAUGAAGGCCUUCGGGUUGUAAAGCUCUGUGGGGAGAGAAGAAUUAGUCAUGGCCAACAUCCAUGAUGAUGACGGUAUCUCCUUAGCAAGCACCGGCUAACUCUGUGCCAGCAGCCGCGGUAAGACAGAGGGUGCAAACGUUGUUCGGAAUUACUGGGCGUAAAGCGUGUGUAGGCGGCCGCGCAAGUCGGAUGUGAAAGCCCUGGGCUCAACCCAGGAAGUGCACCCGAUACUGCAUGGCACGAGUACUGGAGAGGUUGGUGGAAUUCUCGGUGUAGAGGUGAAAUGCGUAGAGAUCGGGAGGAACACCAGUGGCGAAGGCGACUAUCUGGACCAGCACUGACACUGAGGCACGAAAGCGUGGGGAGCAAACA